RNAcentral lists this ribosomal RNA (490 nucleotides) under uncultured bacterium. Its description in RNAcentral is "partial 16S ribosomal RNA". It matches the Rfam family "Bacterial small subunit ribosomal RNA", at positions 30 to 507 of the family's 1533-position model. The record is from RNAcentral.
AUUGAACGCUGGCGGCAUGCUUUACACAUGCAAGUCGAACGGCAGCACGAAAGAGCUUGCUCUUUUGGUGGCGAGUGGCGAACGGGUGAGUAAUGCAUCGGAACGUACCGAGUAAUGGGGGAUAACCGUCCGAAAGGAUAGCUAAUACCGCAUACGCUUUGAGAAGGAAAGUGGGGGCUCUUCGGACCUCACGUUAUUCGAGCGGCCGAUGUCUGAUUAGCUAGUUGGUGGGGUAAAGGCCUACCAAGGCGACGAUCAGUAGCGGGUCUGAGAGGAUGAUCCGCCACACUGGGACUGAGACACGGCCCAGACUCCUACGGGAGGCAGCAGUGGGGAAUUUUAGACAAUGGGCGCAAGCCUGAUCCAGCCAUGCCGCGUGUCUGAAGAAGGCCUUCGGGUUGUAAAGGACUUUUGUUAGGGAAGAAAAGGAUAGUGUUAAUACCAUUAUCUGCUGACGGUACCUAAAGAAUAAGCACCGGCUAACUACGUG